This 273-nucleotide ribosomal RNA is filed under the name Pseudomonas luteola. Its description in RNAcentral is "partial 16S ribosomal RNA". It matches the Rfam family "Bacterial small subunit ribosomal RNA", at positions 524 to 796 of the family's 1533-position model. Lineage: Bacteria; Pseudomonadati; Pseudomonadota; Gammaproteobacteria; Pseudomonadales; Pseudomonadaceae. The record is from RNAcentral.
UACAGAGGGUGCAAGCGUUAAUCGGAAUUACUGGGCGUAAAGCGCGCGUAGGUGGCUUGGUAAGUUGAAUGUGAAAUCCCCGGGCUCAACCUGGGAACUGCAUCCAAAACUGCCUGGCUAGAGUACGGUAGAGGGUGGUGGAAUUUCCUGUGUAGCGGUGAAAUGCGUAGAUAUAGGAAGGAACACCAGUGGCGAAGGCGACCACCUGGACUGAUACUGACACUGAGGUGCGAAAGCGUGGGGAGCAAACAGGAUUAGAUACCCCGGUAGUCC